Molecule: non-coding RNA, 452 nt
Organism: Misgurnus anguillicaudatus (oriental weatherfish)
Lineage: Eukaryota; Metazoa; Chordata; Actinopteri; Cypriniformes; Cobitidae
Source: the annotation of a RefSeq genome assembly
CUGAGUUGAAACUUUCAGCAUUCACUUCAUCAACCAUGUUUAUUGUAGUUUUGAUUGUAUUUUCACUGCUUAAGGAGAGUGUUCAUGCAAAUACAAUAUCACCAGUCUCAUCAGAAGUGCAUGUUUCAGCUGGAGAAAGUGCUGUUAUCUCCUGCAGUUACACAGGCGUUGCUCCCAGCUUUCAAUGGUAUCGCCAAUAUCCAAGAUCCAGACCACAAUACCUUAUCUUUCAUACAGAGAGCAAUGAGGUAUCUGAACCCACUUUACGUCUCAAAGCAAUCCCAAAUAAACAGUCCUCUCGUGUGGAUCUGGAGAUCUCAUCUGCUGCUGUAUCAGACUCUGCUGUAUAUUACUGUGCCCUGGUGCCCACAGUGACAGGAAACACAACAACACUAUACAAAAACUUCUUUCAUCUGUUCACUUCACAAAAAAUACAACAAAGUUUUCACUGA